RNAcentral lists this long non-coding RNA (1593 nucleotides) under Malus domestica (apple). RNAcentral's name for it is "long non-coding RNA (MDOM_LNC016745)". The record is from RNAcentral. Lineage: Eukaryota; Viridiplantae; Streptophyta; Magnoliopsida; Rosales; Rosaceae.
UUUGCAUGAAACUUAUGCCAAGAAUUUACUUAACGUGAUUGUGACUAGCAAUCUUCACUACUUGUGAAUAUAAGUUCAUAACGAUUAGGUGAAAUUCACUUAUAUUCUAGCAUCAAAUUCAUGCAUGUAAAUUAAGUAUGCAUUCUUAAUCGACAUACAAAAAUAAGUUAUCAAUCAAGCAGUUAAGCAAAUUAAAUCACAACUGAAGGUAAUCAAUUCAUAUUACAAAUAUAUUCAUGGCUUUGAAUUAACCUCUAGCCAAAAUAAAUUUAGUUACACAUUAUUAAAACAGAAAUAAAAUAUAAGUUUGGAAAGAUUUAACCGAGAGAGAAGGAAGUGAAGCUUUGCUUCCUGCCGUGCCUGCCCUCUUUAUAUUUUAUCUAUUUUCCGUCAGUCCUCUCUCCUGCUCUUCCCUUUUCUUCUUUCCUUUCCGCGUUUGCCUCUCUCCCCGCGCCCUGCGUCUCCGCGUCAGUCCUCCUCUUCUUCUGCGAGCUGCCCGUCUGUUUCCCUCCCUUGUUUUCUUUCCGCCCUUAUCCCGCCUGCCUUCUAACCCUGCCCGCGCCCUUCUCUUCGUCUCUCACAUCUCCCCGUGUCUAAGCUGCCUCUAUUUCUGUCCGUGACCUUCCUUUUUGACCUGCCUUCCCCUCACUGACCUGCUGUCUCUCACUCCCUUUCUCACCUCUCUCUUUUUCUACACGCUGUCUUUCUUUUUAUUCUUUUUUCCGCACUACCUCAGUGUUCUCCCGUCUGUUUCCACCUCUCUCACCUACUCUUAUCUGCCCUCUCUGACCUCCUCUUUUCCUUGAUGUCAAUUAGCUUCUUUAUCCUGAAAAUCGAUGAGUCAAAGUAAGUCCCCAUUAUUUAAUUUUUCCAACUGAACUUGAAAGCAGGAAAGAUAACGGACAGGCCAUCCUCUUUAUUUUCUGCCAUUCACUUCCUUUGUUUUCUGUUUUUAGUCUCUUUAUUCCUCUGUCAGUGCACUUUCAUUAUUUUUCUAAUGGUCCACCCAUGUUUCACUUUUCUGUUUAUUAUUUAAAACUCAUUUGUGCUAUUUUUAUUUUCUUUGCAUAAAAGAUCCUAUAAACACAAAAAUAACGUAAAUAGCUCAAAAAUAACGUAAAUAGCUCAAAAAUAUAAAGAACUAACCAAGAAAAGACGAGUGAAUUUGAAGUAAAAAUAUAUAUAAAUAUGAUCCGAUCAAAUACCCCCAUACUUAGCUUUUGCUAGUCCUCGAGCAAAACAAAGAAAACAAGAACAAGUAGUAACAAGAAAAACAUUAGCUUCCCCCUAUGUGACCCUCAUAGAAUUUCAUUUGAGAACACAAAUCAACAAGAACCAUAGCUAGCACCAAGCAAGCUAAUCCAAAUUCAUCUUCCUUAUUCAAAUAUUAGCAGUAAUCUUUAAAUCAUCCUUGAAGUGUAGUGUGUGAGAUAGCCAUGCUAAUGCAAUUUCAAAAAAAAAAUUUAUUUAUUUAUUUUUAAAAUCAUCAUAUGCAAACUAGCAACCUUCUCAUGGGAUAUACACUCAAUCAUACAUGUGUUUAGUUUAAAUGUGUUUCGCUCAAAGAAUCAAAUGUGAAAUUUCUACCAUAAG